GACGAACGCUGGCGGCGUGCUUAACACAUGCAAGUCGAACGGAGAGGCCCUGCUUUUGUGGCGUGCUCGAGUGGCGAACGGGUGAGUAUCACGUGAGUAACCUGCCCUUGUCUUUGGGAGAACUUCAGGAAACUGGGGUGAAUACCGGAUAGGAGCUCCUGCUGCAUGGGGUGGGUUGGAAAGUGUCGUCGGUUGGGGAUGGACUCGCGGUUUAUCAGCGUGUUGGUUGGUUAGUGGAUUACCAGGGCUUUGACGGGUAGCCGGCUUGAGAGGGUGACCGGCCCCAUUGGGACUGAGAAACGGCCAGGAGUCCUACGGGAGGCAGGAGUGGGGAAUAUUGCACAAUGGGCGGAAGCCUGAUGCAGCAACGCCGCGUGCGGGAUCACUGCCUUCGGGUUGUAACCCGCUUUCGCCUGUGAAGAAGAGUGAGUGACGGUAAUGGGUAAAGAAGCAACGGCUAACUACGUG
Molecule: ribosomal RNA, 468 nt
Filed under: uncultured bacterium
Lineage: Bacteria
Description: partial 16S ribosomal RNA
Rfam family: Bacterial small subunit ribosomal RNA
Source: RNAcentral